GGCCCUUACGACCAGGGCUACACACGUGCUACAAUGGCGCAUACAAAGAGAAGCGACCUCGCGAGAGCAAGCGGACCUCAUAAAGUGCAGUCGUAGUCCGGAUUGGAGUCUGCAACUCGACUCCAUGAAGUCGGAAUCGCUAGUAAUCGUGGAUCAGAAUGCCACGGUGAAUACGUUCCCGGGCCUUGUACACACCGCCCGUCACACCAUGGGAGUGGGUUGCAAAAGAAGUAGGUAGCUUAACCUUCGGGAGGGCGCUUACCACUUUGUGAUUCAUGACUGGGGUGAAGUCGUAACAAGGUAACCGUAGGGGAACCUGCGGUUGGAUCACCUCCUUACCUUAAAGAAGC
This 350-nucleotide ribosomal RNA is filed under the name Escherichia sp. E1130. RNAcentral describes it as "bacterial SSU rRNA". It matches the Rfam family "Bacterial small subunit ribosomal RNA", at positions 1197 to 1533 of the family's 1533-position model. Lineage: Bacteria; Pseudomonadati; Pseudomonadota; Gammaproteobacteria; Enterobacterales; Enterobacteriaceae. The record is from RNAcentral.